This 558-nucleotide long non-coding RNA is filed under the name Physcomitrium patens. Its description in RNAcentral is "long non-coding RNA (PPAT_LNC008666)". Lineage: Eukaryota; Viridiplantae; Streptophyta; Bryopsida; Funariales; Funariaceae. The record is from RNAcentral.
AGAAUACUAACAAUGCUCUAAUUAGACCAUAAUAAUGCUAAGCAAGCUUAAUCAAAUUCAAAAAAAAUCUCAAAGAAAUUUCAAACAAAUAAUAAGAAUUCUUAAAUAAAUAUAAGAAGGAUUGCAAAUAUCACUCAAAUACAUCUCAAUUCAAUCUUAAUUUAAUUCUAGUUAAAAUCCUAUUGAAAUUCAUUAAAACUUUAAGCCAAAACUAAUUAAAUCUUAAAUCCUAAUAAAAUCCUAAAUCCUAAAUCAAACCCUAAAUAAACCUUAAAUCAAACCCCAACCAAAUCCUAAACCAAAUCCUAACCAAAUCCUAAACCAAACUCUAAACCGUAAAUCAAAUCCUAAUCAAAUCCUAAUCCAAAUCCUAAACCCUAAAUCAAACCCUAAUCCAAAUCCCAAAUAAAACCCUAACCAAAUCCUAAAUCAAACCCUAAAUCAAAUCUUAAACCAAACCCCAAUCAAAUCCUAAACCAAACCCUAAUCAAAUCCUAAACCAAAUCCUAAAUCAAAUCUUAAAUCAAAUCCCAAUCAAAUCCUAAACCAAAUCCUAAC